AGACUGAGGACCAGCGUCCAACUAUGUGA
Molecule: non-coding RNA, 29 nt
Filed under: Rattus norvegicus (Norway rat)
Lineage: Eukaryota; Metazoa; Chordata; Mammalia; Rodentia; Muridae
Source: RNAcentral